AGAGUUUGAUCAUGGCUCAGAACGUACGCUGGCGGCACGCCUAACACAUGCAAGUCGAACGCAGUAGCAAUACUGAGUGGCAAACGGGUGAGUAUAAUGUGGGAAUCUGCCUUUUGGUUUGGAAUAACACGGGGAAACUUGUGCUAAUACCGAAUAAGCCUUUACAGGGAAAGUUUUAACGCCGAAAGAUGAGCCCGCACUUGAUUAGCUAGUUGGUAAGGUAAAAGCUUACCAAGGCAACGAUCAAUAGCUGUUCUUAGAGGAAGACCAGCCACAUUGGGACUGAGACACGGCCCAGACUCCUACGGGAGGCAGCAGUGGGGAAUCUUGCACAAUGGGGGAAACCCUGAUGCAGCGAUGCCGCGUGAGUGAAGAAGGCCCUUGGGUUGUAAAACUCUUUCGUCGGGGAAGAAAAUGACUGUACCCGAAUAAGAAGGUCCGGCUAACUUCGUGCCAGCAGCCGCGGUAAUACGAAGGGACCUAGCGUAGUUCGGAAUUACUGGGCUUAAAGAGCUCGUAGGUGGUUAAAAAAGUUGAUGGUGAAAUCCCAAGGCUUAACCUUGGAACUGCCAUCAAAACUUUUUAGCUAGAGUGUGAUAGAGGUAAGUGGAAUUUCUAGUGUAGAGGUGAAAUUCGUAGAUAUUAGAAAGAACACCAAAUGCGAAGGCAACUUACUGGGUCACUACUGACACUGAGGAGCGAAAGCAUGGGUAGCGAAGAGGAUUAGAUACCCUCGUAGUCCAUGCCGUAAACGAUGUGUGCUAGACGUUGGAAAUAUAUUUUUCAGUGUCGCAGCGAAAGCA
This 803-nucleotide ribosomal RNA is filed under the name marine metagenome. Its description in RNAcentral is "bacterial SSU rRNA". It matches the Rfam family "Bacterial small subunit ribosomal RNA", at positions 8 to 859 of the family's 1533-position model. The record is from RNAcentral.